CUGUAGACACGAGUUUGACUCCGUGGCUACAGGACGAACGCUGGCGGCGCGCCUAACACAUGCAAGUCGAACGAGAGAUGAAGAGCUUGCUCUUCAAAUCGAGUGGCGAACGGGUGAGUAACGCGUGAGGAACCUGCCUCAAAGAGGGGGACAACAGUUGGAAACGACUGCUAAUACCGCAUAAGCCCACGGCUCGGCAUCGAGCAGAGGGAAAAGGAGCGAUCCGCUUUGAGAUGGCCUCGCGUCCGAUUAGCUAGUUGGUGAGGUAACGGCCCACCAAGGCGACGAUCGGUAGCCGGACUGAGAGGUUGAACGGCCACAUUGGGACUGAGACACGGCCCAGACUCCUACGGGAGGCAGCAGUGGGGAAUAUUGCACAAUGGGGGAAACCCUGAUGCAGCGACGCCGCGUGGAGGAAGAAGGUUUUCGGAUCGUAAACUCCUGUCCUUGGAGACGAGUAGAAGACGGUAUCCAAGGAGGAAGCCCCGGCUAACUACGUG
This 500-nucleotide ribosomal RNA is filed under the name uncultured bacterium. RNAcentral's name for it is "bacterial SSU rRNA". It matches the Rfam family "Bacterial small subunit ribosomal RNA", at positions 1 to 507 of the family's 1533-position model. The record is from RNAcentral.